RNAcentral lists this ribosomal RNA (228 nucleotides) under uncultured Streptococcaceae bacterium. Its description in RNAcentral is "partial 16S ribosomal RNA". It matches the Rfam family "Bacterial small subunit ribosomal RNA", at positions 111 to 334 of the family's 1533-position model. The record is from RNAcentral. Lineage: Bacteria; Bacillati; Bacillota; Bacilli; Lactobacillales; Streptococcaceae.
UAACGCGUAGGUAACCUACCUCAUAGCGGGGGAUAACUAUUGGAAACGAUAGCUAAUACCGCAUAAGAGAGACUAACGCAUGUUAGUAAUUUAAAAGGGGCAAUUGCUCCACUAUGAGAUGGACCUGCGUUGUAUUAGCUAGUUGGUGAGGUAAAGGCUCACCAAGGCGACGAUACAUAGCCGACCUGAGAGGGUGAUCGGCCACACUGGGACUGAGACACGACCCAG